ACGGGUAUUCUUGGGUAGAUAAUA
RNAcentral lists this microRNA (24 nucleotides) under Chrysemys picta bellii (western painted turtle). RNAcentral's name for it is "Cpi-Mir-137-P3-v1_5p* (star (passenger))". The record is from RNAcentral. RNAcentral also lists the same sequence under 5 other names. Lineage: Eukaryota; Metazoa; Chordata; Testudines; Emydidae.